This 610-nucleotide long non-coding RNA is filed under the name Betta splendens (Siamese fighting fish). Its description in RNAcentral is "lncRNA (ENSBSLG00000009404.1)". Lineage: Eukaryota; Metazoa; Chordata; Actinopteri; Anabantiformes; Osphronemidae. The record is from RNAcentral.
GUUCUGAGACCAUUGUGCAUGAAAAUGGGAUAAGGUUUAUCAAAAAUGCUGCCAGAAGCUGGUGUCUGGCUUUGCAUCACGUUUGUAGCAGGUGACAGCAAAGCGGUUCCCCACUAAGGACUGAAGACACAUGGGACAGGGCCUAAAUAAUUGCUGCAGUGUUCAAUAGUAUGUAUUCUGCCCCAACAGUACUUCUCUGACUUGAAGUCAUCACCAGUUUCACAGGAAAGAGAUGGCCAGUUUGGUGACAGAGUGUGAAGACAACAGUGCAGAGGGUUGCAUGAAGACGACGAGAGAAAACAGCACAGAGUAAAUCCUGCUGCAAGAUGCAGGGACAUCCCUGACUCGGUGACUCAUUUUCCACUCCAGCGCUGCUCCCUCACACAGCUGAGUUAUUCGUGUGCCUACUCACUCUGUGCACCAGAACAACAAGGCAUCAUCACUUUUCUAUUUAAACAGUCCAUCUGUGCACUUUCCAAACACUAGCGCUGCUGACGACGCCAGAAAAUGUGACUGGGCCAGCUGGGACGCCAUUGUCAGGCCAGUAGCACGGCAGAAGGCCAGCAGAUUGGUGCCCUAAAAUAAAAAAGAGGAACACACAAAGAAGGCA